AAGUCGUAACAAGGUUUCCGUAGGUGAACCUGCGGAAGGAUCAUUACUGAAUUUUCUAUUUACAUUGUGAACGCCUGUGGUUGCGAGUUUUGGGUUGUUGUUUGGUGGCUUUUGUUUGUUUUGGUCACCGCUAUGCGGUGGUUGGGGCGAAACAGUCACAGACGGAUCCGGCGCGCGCAGCCACAAAAACAUUGACAUUGUACACCAUGCAGUCUAAUACAACAACAACAAUCAAAAACAACUUUUAACAAGGGAUCUCUUGGCUCUC
This 268-nucleotide unclassified non-coding RNA is filed under the name fungal sp. RNAcentral's name for it is "partial internal transcribed spacer region". The stretch from base 1 to 46 matches the Rfam family "Eukaryotic small subunit ribosomal RNA", at positions 1786 to 1831 of the family's 1831-position model. Lineage: Eukaryota; Fungi. The record is from RNAcentral.